UUUGUUGAUGCUCAAGGGCGGCAAGGGCAAGUUCUUCAGCAAGUUGCCCUGCAUGUUGAUCGGCGGCGCGGCUUCGAUGGCCGUCAGCAGUGC
This 93-nucleotide transfer RNA is filed under the name Pseudomonas sp. 22 E 5. RNAcentral describes it as "tRNA-Sec". Lineage: Bacteria; Pseudomonadati; Pseudomonadota; Gammaproteobacteria; Pseudomonadales; Pseudomonadaceae. RNAcentral also lists the same sequence under 2 other names. The record is from RNAcentral.